UUUUUGAAAAUAAUAUAAAGUCUAGUCUGCCCACUGAUAAUUUAUUAAAGGGCUGCAGUAUUUUGACUGUACAAAGGUAGCAUAAUCAUUUGUCUCUUAAUUGGUGACUUGUAUGAAAGAUUGGAUGAAAUAUAAACUGUCUCAUUAUAAUUAUUAAAACUUAAUUUUUUAGUUAAAAAGCUAAAAUAUUUUUAAAAGACGAGAAGACCCUAUAGAGUUUAAUAAUUAUUUUAAUAUAAAUAAAAUGUAAAAAUUAAAAUUUAAAUUAAAUUAAUUAUUUUGUUGGGGUGACAGAAAAAUUAAAUUAACUUUUUUUAAAAAUAAACAUGAAUAAGUGAGUAAAUGAUCCAUUAUUAAUGAUUAAAAGAAAAAAUUACCUUAGGGAUAACAGCGUAAUUUUUUUUUUUAGGCCAAAUAAGAAAAAAAGUUUGCGACCUCGAUGUUGGAUUAAGAUAAAAUUUAAAUGCAAAAGUUUAAAAUUUUGAUCUGUUCGAUCAUUAAAA
Molecule: ribosomal RNA, 503 nt
Filed under: Troides hypolitus sangirensis
Lineage: Eukaryota; Metazoa; Arthropoda; Insecta; Lepidoptera; Papilionidae
Description: partial 16S ribosomal RNA
Rfam family: Bacterial large subunit ribosomal RNA
Source: RNAcentral